UGAUAGUAUGAGCAUGAUGUUCAGAGGAGGUAGAGUUAGAAAGGUCAUCUGAAGACCAAGAUGCCAUUCAGCACUGUGUUCCCAGCCGUGUGAUGGUAAUUUAAUGAUCACACUGCCAUCAAGCCAGAAACACAAAUGUUGACAUUUGAUUGUAAUGUUUUUCCUCUCAAAGUUGCUUCAAGUAAAUACCAAUGGCAUAUCCAAGCAAAUGAGGAAUAUACUACCACUAUUCUAGUUACUUUGUUAUUACAUGCAUUUAAGGAAAACAGAGACUUGCUACCAUUUUGAUAACUAUUUGAAGG
Ictidomys tridecemlineatus (thirteen-lined ground squirrel) is the source of this 302-nucleotide non-coding RNA. The record is from RefSeq and is a predicted model, not a curated record. NCBI's taxonomy places the organism in Eukaryota, Metazoa, Chordata, Mammalia, Rodentia, Sciuridae.